RNAcentral lists this transfer RNA (70 nucleotides) under Coemansia erecta. RNAcentral's name for it is "tRNA-Gly". It matches the Rfam family "tRNA". Rfam says of the family: Transfer RNA (tRNA) molecules are approximately 80 nucleotides in length. Their secondary structure includes four short double-helical elements and three loops (D, anti-codon, and T loops). The record is from RNAcentral. RNAcentral also lists the same sequence under 1 other name. Lineage: Eukaryota; Fungi; Kickxellomycota; Kickxellomycetes; Kickxellales; Kickxellaceae.
CGUUGAUGGUUAAGUGGUAUAAUGGUUGCCUUCCAAGCAUUUGUCCCGGGUUCGAUUCCCGGUCAACGCA